RNAcentral lists this ribosomal RNA (282 nucleotides) under uncultured bacterium. RNAcentral describes it as "partial 16S ribosomal RNA". It matches the Rfam family "Bacterial small subunit ribosomal RNA", at positions 28 to 301 of the family's 1533-position model. The record is from RNAcentral.
GACGAACGCUGGCGGCGUGCUUAACACAUGCAAGUCGAGCGGGAUCCAACCGGUGGCAACACCGGGGAAGAUCUAGCGGCGAACGGGUGAGUAACACGUGAGCAACCUGCCCCGAAGACUGGGAUAACACCGGGAAACCGGUGCUAAUACCGGAUGUCGUCAUUAGGCCGCAUGACCUGAUGAUGAAGGAUCAUCGCUUCGGGAGGGGCGUCGCGGGCGUAUCAGCUGUUGGUGGGGUAACGGGCCUACCAAGGCGACGACGGCUAGCUGGUCUGAGAGGAC